AACGAACGCUGGCGGCAUGCCUAACACAUGCAAGUCGAACGAGCCCUUCGGGUCUAGUGGCGCACGGGUGCGUAACGCGUGGGAACCUGCCCUUAGGUUCGGAAUAACUCCCCGAAAGGGGUGCUAAUACCGGAUAAUGUCUUCGGCCCAAAGAUUUAUCGCCUUUGGAUGGGCCCGCGUUGGAUUAGCUAGUUGGUAGGGUAAAAGCCUACCAAGGCGACGAUCCAUAGCUGGUCUGAGAGGAUGAUCAGCCACACUGGGACUGAGACACGGCCCAGACUCCUACGGGAGGCAGCAGUGGGGAAUAUUGGACAAUGGGCGAAAGCCUGAUCCAGCAAUGCCGCGUGAGUGAUGAAGGCCUUAGGGUUGUAAAGCUCUUUUACCCGGGAUGAUAAUGACAGUACCGGGAGAAUAAGCUCCGGCUAACUCCGUG
This 433-nucleotide ribosomal RNA is filed under the name uncultured bacterium. RNAcentral's name for it is "partial 16S ribosomal RNA". It matches the Rfam family "Bacterial small subunit ribosomal RNA", at positions 29 to 507 of the family's 1533-position model. The record is from RNAcentral.